Molecule: long non-coding RNA, 2961 nt
Organism: Prionailurus viverrinus (fishing cat)
Lineage: Eukaryota; Metazoa; Chordata; Mammalia; Carnivora; Felidae
Exons: 2
Source: RefSeq, a predicted model, not a curated record
CUGAGCCAUCGGCCCAGAGCCUGACGCGGGGCUCGAACUCCCGGACCGCGAGAUUGUGACCUGACUGAAGUCGGAUGCUUAACCGACUGCGCCACCCAGGCGCCCCUGAGAUCGAGUUCUUGGUGUCCUCCUCAUGAGCUGUCCAAACAGAAGUUGUGUCCACUGCAGCCCGAGGAGAAGCUUCGGCUCUUUCUCAAGUUUGGGAGCAUCUCUUUUGAGCAAAGUUAUGUAUCACUAAGCUGCUUGCUCUUUCUAGACCAUGGAAUCUAGCACUUUCACAGUUGUUGUUUUUUCUUUAAAGUAUUUUAAAUGUCGAGGUGGUGGGGAAGUCCGCCUUUGGAGUCUUUGUAUUUACGGUUAAAGUGGUGCCAAGACUUUGUCCGGCUGUAAGUUAGCGGGUCUCGGCAGGACCGCUGCUGUUUGGUGGGAGAUAAACAUGAACUUUUUGGCACCCUAGUGUUUCUGUAUGCAUGUGCAUACAUGCAGUGCAUGUAUGGCUUCUGGAAGAAGGUGCACAGAAAAACCACCUUUUUAGAGUUUGUACAUGAAAGGCCUACCAUCAGACACACACAGAGCCACAUGUGACUGUCACAGUCAUUCCAUUACUGAUUUGGAUACCCUGCUGUCCGCAAUCAGUAUAAGGAUCUGUUUUACUUUGCAAGAGCAGGAUUUUACCACCUUGCUUCGGGGCAGAGGAGUGAGGACACAUUUCAGGAUGGAGGGGGCAAUUGGAUAGGAAUGAUAGGGAUUACUGAGUGUCUUCUUAACAUCCUUAGCUGGUCCCUGGCUCCCUGGCUCUCCUAGAUCCUAGAUGCUGCUUAUUUAACUGUCCUUAAGUGAUGCCUGCUUGUCCAUACACUUGUGCUGUGACCCAAGUCACACACAGAUUCAAUUCUGUUGCUACUGUGAAUAUCUUUAAAACCUUCGGUGGACUGCUGGAUACCCAGUAUGUUUUGAUGACUGUAGCUGAUUUUAUGUCUUUAAAUGAUCACUCUCUUUGUUUUCAUACACAUGGGUUUCAAUUUUUUUCACCUUCGGGGCAAACUAAAAACUUGGCUCUCUUCAUUUGAAAAUGCAUACCGGCCUGCAGGCUCCGAGGACCCUGCCAUCCAAGCGCCAUCUAAGAUGCUUUAAGUUAAUAGCCUAAGGACAAGAUGCAUUUGUAAAUAAAUUAAUCAUGGGCAGAAGUUCAAUAUUAAGGUGCCAUUUUAAAAUCUGACUUUGAUAACGUUAAACAACAUAUACACAUUUUCAAGGUCAUUUUUUUCUUCCAAGAGUUUAUGUCUAGAGUUUUACGGAUUCCCUGUUAGAGUCUUUAUCUUUCACAGCACCCUCUGGGAGAAAGCAUGCUCUUCACGCGAAGAUCUUGUACCUUUGGAUGUGAACAAAGACGUGCAUCCAGCGGGCAUCCCUUCCCGAGUUCUCGGUGAUGCUGUCACUUCCACACCCGGUGUCUGUAUUGUAACUUGAAAACAGCGCUGAUCUUACUUCACCUUUCUGUGCUUCCUGAGCGGCACCCCGUGUAUCCUGCACCCUACCUGCUGCUCGUGAGUGCACACGGACUGGUCCUUUAUACACGGCUGGUGCUGCGCCUCGUGCACAAUCCUUUCUCUACUCAGAUUUUUACACAGCUCUUGAUAACAUUUCAGGGCCGAUAAAUCUCUGUAAGCACGUUAUACGCACAUAUAUAUACUCCUGUUACCGAUACUACGGGGUUUAGGCUGCGUUGCUGCCUUCUCUGGUAAUGCUCCCUUUGGGUACUCUUGGACACCCCCCAGGGUGAGGCUAUCCGGCUUCUUUGCCUCGCGUGUGUCGGAGCCAACAUGAUUAAGAAAUUUACAGGUGGCACCUGAGAUGUUCCAUUUGUUCCUUGCUCUUUGACUUGAAGUCAGUUGCCUAAUUUGGGGAAUAGUUAUAAUGUCACCUGUUGAGACCAUUUUAAAAGCCUGUGAAAGUGACUUUGCCUGUUUACUUCUUUGCCUCAGGUUGAUGCUUUAUUUUAACCAGUAUUCUUGCAACGGGAUCGGGGCUCCUGAUGAACCGCAUAGGUUCACUGCAGAACGUAAGCACAAUUUGAAUUCUGUGAUUUCUGGUACACGUCCCCAGCACAGCCUCCUUUUGUAAACGCUGCAGACAGGAGUGUGGCCAUUUUCACGCAGAUGGCCCUGGCAAGUGGGAGUCGGGACCUCCUCUGGCUGGUCCGGUCGCAGCCACCGAGUGUCCUGCUGGUCUGGGGACAUGAGUCGUUCAUUCAGCAUUCAGAGAAGUGCCUCUCAUUUCUGGGGAAUUGUUUACAUCCAUGUUAUGCUUCAACCAAUUAAAAUGAUGCAAGGUAAAAAAAAUGUAGAGAAUGUAAGAAGAAUUAAUUGCUUCCGGCUCAGAACCAGUGGGAAAUGUAAAAACAUACAAAAACAAACUGCAAAAAUAUAUCAGUAUUAGUACAGUUAUUUAGAUUGAGACUACUUCUCAAAUCUUCAAUGGCUCGAUUGGCCAAAGGUUCGUAAGUGACUGGGCACUUACGAGGGCAGGGUGGGUGCCCCGUGUCAGCAAAGAUCGGGGGACGUGGUUGAUCUCAUGGCAGCUACGGGCUCAAGGGAGGAAGGUUUGGAGUGGUUCUUAAGCUAUUAGGUUAGUUUCCGGAGAAACGGAAGAAUCUUUACCUUUCAUGCUUUAAAUAUUGCCUAAGUCCUCUUUACGCUCACCUACUGGAGUAGUUAAAAACAUAAAACCCUGGGUAGGUGGUAGUGGAUUUCACGGUAACAGAGAAGCAGUAUUUAUUAUGCAUUCACGUGCACGUACAGAGCUCCGUUUCAAAUGGCCUGACUCUGUGGGGCAUGUUUGUUAUUUGCCGUUAUGAUUAUCGUAUGCUUGGUUUUGUACAUAAUAAUACAGAGCGCGUGCAAGUUUUUGUGAGUCUGGAUUUCUUUCCUUGAGAUCAAUUAAACAGUAGGAGAUAUCGUC